GGAUUAAGCCAUGCAUGUGUAAGUAUAGUUAAUUUUACUUUGAAACUGCGAAUGGCUCAUUAUAUCAGUUAUAGUUUAUUAGAAAUACUUUACUACUUGGAUAACCGUAGUAAUUCUAGGGCUAAUACAUGAAUAAAUCCUCAACUUCGGAAGAGGUGUGUUUAUUAGUAUGAAAACCAUAUACUCUCGGAUAUAAUAGUGAGUAAUAAUAACCUUUCGUAUCGUAUGUCGUAAGAUAACGAUAGUUCUUUCAAGUUUCUGCCCUAUCAGCUUUCGAUGGUAGUAUAUGGGACUACCAUGGCAGUAACGGGUAACGAAGAAUUUGGGUUCGAUUUCGGAGAGGGAGCCUGAGAGAUGGCUACCACAUCCAAGGAAGGCAGCAGGCGCGUAAAUUACCCAAUCCUGACAUAGGGAGGUAGUGACAAUAAAUCACAAUCGCGAACUAUUUAGUUUUGCAAUUGGAUUGAGAACAAUGUACAAAUGUUAUCGAUAAACAAUUGGAGGGCAAGUCUGGUGCCAGCAGCCGCGGUAAUUCCAGCUCCAAUAGCGUAUAUUAACGUUGUUGCAAGUAAAAAAAGCUC
Molecule: ribosomal RNA, 581 nt
Filed under: Blastocystis sp.
Lineage: Eukaryota; Bigyra; Opalinata; Blastocystidae
Description: SSU rRNA
Rfam family: Eukaryotic small subunit ribosomal RNA
Source: RNAcentral